GGAGGGUGCAAACGUUGCUCGGAAUUACUGGGCGUAAAGCGCAUGUAGGCGGGUCUAUCAAGUCUCGUGUGAAAGCCCUGGGCUCAACCCAGGAAGUGCACGGGAAACUGGCAGACUAGAGUACGGUAGAAGUGGGCGGAAUUCCGGGUGUAGAGGUGAAAUUCGUAGAUAUCCGGAGGAACACCAGUAGCGAAGGCGGCUCACUAGCCCGAUACUGACGCUGAGAUGCGAAAGCGUGGGGAGCAAACAGGAUUAGAUACCCUGGUAGUCCACGCCGUAAACGAUGGAUACUAGGUGUUGGAGGCUUGACCCCUUCAGCGCCGAAGCUAACGCGAUAAGUAUCCCGCCUGGGGAGUACGGUCGCAAGACUA
Molecule: ribosomal RNA, 371 nt
Filed under: uncultured organism
Description: partial 16S ribosomal RNA
Rfam family: Bacterial small subunit ribosomal RNA
Source: RNAcentral